RNAcentral lists this ribosomal RNA (1507 nucleotides) under metagenome. RNAcentral's name for it is "bacterial SSU rRNA". It matches the Rfam family "Bacterial small subunit ribosomal RNA". The record is from RNAcentral.
AGAGUUUGAUCCUGGCUCAGGACGAACGCUGGCGGCGUGCUUAACACAUGCAAGUCAAGGGGAACGACAGACUUCGGUUUGUUUAGUAUACUGGCGAACGGGUGAGUAACGCGUAGGUAACCUGCCUAUGAGUUUGGGAUAACACUGCUAACGACGUGCUAAUACCGGAUAACGCAAUUUGAUCGCAUGGUUAGAUUGUUAAAGUGGGCUUUUAGCUCAUGCUUAUAGAUGGACCUGCGUCUCAUUAGUUAGUUGGCGGGGUAACGGCCCACCAAGACCGCGAUGGGUAGCCGACCUGAGAGGGUGAUCGGCCACACUGGGACUGAGAUACGGCCCAGACUCCUACGGGAGGCAGCAGUGAGGAAUAUUGCGCAAUGGAGGAAACUCUGACGCAGCAACGCCGCGUGCGGGAUGACGCUUUUAGGAGUGUAAACCGCUGUUAGUAGGGACGAAUAAGUUAUGUUCGAAUAGGUCAUAACGAUGACGGUACCUACAGAGAAAGCCCCGGCUAACUCCGUGCCAGCAGCCGCGGUAAUACGGAGGGGGCGAGCGUUGUCCGGAAUUAUUGGGCGUAAAGGGCGCGUAGGCGGGCUAAUCAGUCUGUGGUGAAAGUUUGCGGCUUAACCGUAAAAUUGCCGUGGAUACUGUUAGUCUUGAGUUCGGAAGAGGAAAGUAGAAUUCCUGGUGUAGCGGUGAAAUGCGUAGAUAUCAGGAAGAAUACCGGUGGCGAAGGCGGCUUUCUGGUCCGAAACUGACGCUGAGGCGCGAAAGUGUGGGUAGCGAACAGGAUUAGAUACCCUGGUAGUCCACACAGUAAACGAUGGAUACUAGGUGUUGGAUGGCAACGUUCAGCGCCGGAGCAAACGCAUUAAGUAUCCCGCCUGGGGAGUACGAUCGCAAGAUUGAAACUCAAAGGAAUUGACGGGGGCCCGCACAAGCGGUGGAGCAUGUGGUUUAAUUCGAUGCAACGCGAAGAACCUUACCUGGGCUUGAACUGAUACUGCUAUACUGUGAAAGCAGUUAUUCCUUCGGGACGGUAUUAGAGGUGCUGCAUGGCUGUCGUCAGCUCGUGUCGUGAGAUGUUGGGUUAAGUCCCGCAACGAGCGCAACCCUUACUCUUAGUUGCCAGCACAUAAUGGUGGGAACUCUAAGAUACUGCCCCGGUUAACGGGGAGGAAGGUGGGGAUGACGUCAAGUCCUCAUGGCCUUUAUGCCUAGGGCUACACACGUGCUACAAUGGGCUGUACAAAGGGUUGCCAACCUGUGAAGGUGAGCCAAUCCCAUAAAGCAGUUCGUAGUUCGGAUUGGAGUCUGCAACUCGACUCCAUGAAGCUGGAAUCGCUAGUAAUCGUGGAUCAGAACGCCACGGUGAAUACGUUCCCGGGCCUUGUACACACCGCCCGUCACACCAUGAGAGUUGGUUGUACCAGAAGUCGUUGGGCAAACCCUUCGGGGGUGCAGGCGCCUAAGGUAUGGCUGAUGAUUGGGGUGAAGUCGUAACAAGGUA